CUGAAGAUGUUACAACCAUUGCUCUCAAUGGCCAUAACCAGCGUCUAAAUGUGCUACCCCAGGAAUCGUCUACAACCCUUAAAGAGCCGAUUGGAAUAGUCUAUUCAGAGAACUCAACCAAAUCUCUUCAAAAUUCUGGU
Juglans regia (Persian walnut) is the source of this 140-nucleotide long non-coding RNA. RefSeq lists it as uncharacterized. Lineage: Eukaryota; Viridiplantae; Streptophyta; Magnoliopsida; Fagales; Juglandaceae. The transcript is spliced from 3 exons. The record is from RefSeq and is a predicted model, not a curated record.